This 253-nucleotide ribosomal RNA is filed under the name uncultured bacterium. Its description in RNAcentral is "partial 16S ribosomal RNA". It matches the Rfam family "Bacterial small subunit ribosomal RNA", at positions 524 to 776 of the family's 1533-position model. The record is from RNAcentral.
UACAGAGGGGGCAAGCGUUGUUCGGAAUUACUGGGCGUAAAGGGCGCGUAGGCGGCCUGCUAAGUCGAACGUGAAAUCCCUGGGCUCAACCCAGGAACUGCGUUCGAUACUGGUUGGCUUGAAUUCGGGAGAGGGAUGCGGAAUUCCAGGUGUAGCGGUGAAAUGCGUAGAUAUCAGGAGGAACACCGAUGGCGAAGGCAGGUCUCUGGGCCGAUACUGACGCUUAGGAGCGAAAGCGUGGGGAGCGAACAGG